RNAcentral lists this long non-coding RNA (1037 nucleotides) under Helianthus annuus (common sunflower). The record is from RNAcentral. Lineage: Eukaryota; Viridiplantae; Streptophyta; Magnoliopsida; Asterales; Asteraceae.
CAUAUAUUUCAUUUAAUUUAAAGGUUGGGUGAGCAAACUAUUUCCAGAAAAACAAGCACGGAUUCAAUCUCAACUAGGGAGAAAUAUGCAGAUAAUCACAAUUCAUUUUAGCUGUUGUAACUCAAUUUCAAAAGUGCUUUUAGGAAUUAUCAUUAAUGCUUCACAGUUGUUUAAACCUAUUCACUUUUUAUUCUCCUGGCGCGACUAGAAUCUAGCGAAUCACCGGAGGUUUUUGAGACUUGAAGUUAAAUCAAAGCUCGCUUAAGAAGCUAGCAGAAAAAAGGAUGCUGGAACAUAGCAGAUGAUAUGCAACUUCUUGAAUAUAGGGUCUAUUUGACAAUCAAAACUGGUUCACUCACAAAGUUGAUGUUUUAUGUGCGUCACGUUCUACAUCACAUGUUCACUAACAGAGCCCGCCGCAAAGCGGCGGGGCUUAAACCUAGUUAAAAUAAAUAAAAGAACUCACUGGAGUUCUUGUCGGGUGGAGAUGGAUGCCUGGCUUCGCCCUUCAUCGCAAGAACCACCAUCUCCGUCGUCAUCAUCACGCCGCCACAAACCCACCGGAAUCUCCCACCGUUUCAUCGUCACAUCAUCACUAUCACCGACAGCAGCGGCACCUCAUCAAUGCAGACGCCUCUUUCUCUCCCUCGGUUCCCCUCUCUUUCACUCGCUUCCCUGAUGUCGCGCCGCUGUGCGCCACCCUCCUCCGACCUCCGAUCUCCGAUUCUCUCUCCCCGAGUCACACCCUAACCGGGUGUGUGAUUUAGCAGGUUUAAUCGGAGAGGAAGGGGGUGUCUUGUCGGUUAACCAAGCCACCGAACCACCGGCAGCCGGCCGGCCUUCUGUCGAGGGGGACGGGUGACCGAGAGGGGUGUUUGGGCUUGUGGAAGGGUGUGUAAUUGAGAGAUUGAGAGUAGAUCAAGGGUUUGUUGUUUUUUUUUUCUUUGAAGAUCAUGUUGCAGACAAUGAGUUGAGAGGGAAAGUAGGAUAUAGCGGCUGACAACAAAUGAAAAUUAGGGUGAUCUCUAGUCUUAAAU